Molecule: RNA transcript, 6307 nt
Organism: Biomphalaria glabrata
Lineage: Eukaryota; Metazoa; Mollusca; Gastropoda; Planorbidae
Gene name: tripartite motif-containing protein 45-like
Exons: 9
Source: RefSeq, a predicted model, not a curated record
GUCUAACCUCGACACGUCUGCUCACUCAUUCACUACUCCGAAGGGAGAGGAAGGCUAAGAGAGGGAGUGGGACGCCAGAAAGACCCGGAAGGGAUAAAACGGACCGCGUUGUGUUUGCGAUUCUUAUGUUUUCUGUGUCCGUUGGUUUCGAAGAUCCUCCGUAGUUUUGGACAAAGCCUUGUUCACGUGGAUUAUGUUCAGUUCUGACACAGUUUUCACGGUGGGAGCAGAUUCAUCAGGGACAAGAAGAUAAGAAAAGUUGUCAGCAAAUAAUUGGCUAGUCUAGAACUUUCGUCACAAGUGUUACACAUUUUUAAAACGUUUCUUUCAAAACUUCUGAAGGUAAAGAGUUAACAAUAUCACGUGACACUAUUAGUUUGUGAAUUUGUUCCAUUCAAAGACUAAAGAGAAGUGAAGAACUAAAAACAAAACAACUACGUGUAAAGAUUGAUUCGCCUCUCAGUUAUGGAUGACGCAGAUCUGAUCGCUAAAAUUGGCAGGAAAAGGUACCGCCGUCGCCUGGAAAGAGAUCGCUACUUUACGCAAGCCAUUGACCCGUCCAGUCUUUCGUCCCCAAGCCCUCCCCCAACCAGUGUGUGCAGUAACAUGUCCACCACAGCAGCAGGCAACAAACUCGCCCAGGAGAUUCACGACGAGUUUCUGACCUGUAAAAUCUGUCUGGAAGGGUUCAAGUCUCCCAAAUGCCUGGAUUGUUUGCACACUUUCUGUGAGCAAUGUAUUGACAACCAUGUCCUCAAUGAGUGCUCCUACAAAAAGUACUCGGACUACAGAGAGUUCACGUGUCCACUCUGCCGCAAGAGAACUCAGCUCCCCAUCGGAGGCGUGAAAAAGCUGCCGGACAACUUCCUGGUGUCCAGUUUGGGCGAGGUGGUGGCCCGACAGAAGCCCAGCAAGUUUCCCUUCUGUGACAUCUGCAAGCUUGUCAACCGGAAGCACCGCGAGGCGACCAGUAAAUGUCUGGAUUGUAACAAGUUGCUGUGUAAGCAGUGCGUAGACAUGCACAAGGAAACCAAGGUCACCCAGAACCACAGUUUGUUUGACGUGGAGAUUGAGAAGGACAUUGAAUGCAAGGAACACCAGGACGAGGUGGUCAGGUUCUACUGUGAGCCGUGCCAGACCUGUAUAUGUGUACUGUGUACAUUCAACGAGCACAAGGACCAUGAGAUUUCCCAGUUCAAUGACGCGGUCAACAAAUACAAAGAAAACAUUCAGGACCUGCUGGGCAGCUGCAAGAGCAAGAUUGACAUAUAUGACAGGCAGUUGGCAUUGUUGAAUAAAUGUGAAGGUGUCAUCAAGUCAGCAGAGCAGAAGAUCCAUGAUGCUGCCAUUCAGUUCAUCGCUGAGAUCAGGAACAAAGAGAAAGCACUCAUCGAUGAGCUGCACGACUUCUAUGGAGCCGAGCUCAUGACCUACGUGACCCGGAAGAACGAGAUGCAGAACAACCUCGACGGCCUGAAGAGCACAUGCAGCCUGACGGAGCUGGUGCUGAAGGGCAAGGACAUCGAGCUGCUGCUUCUGAAGAAGCAGGUCCAGGAGAAACUCUCGGCCAUGGCGAAUGUGGAGCUGAAAGACUUGCCUCGCACUGUGGGCAAGCAGGUCUGCUUCGUGUCUGGAAGCUUGGAUCUGGGCAGGCUGGAAGACCCUGAUGCCCCGAUCGACAAGAAGAAAGAGUUGCAGAGGGAGAGAGACGCCCUGGAAGACAGUCACCGCUUAACGCUGCCUAAUAUGCUGUUUGGGCAAAAAGGCAUUGAGAGGGACAUUAUCAAAGAAGUCAUAAAGUCGACACCAAAGAGGACCACUGACACCCAGACCGACCCAAUGCAAGAUAAAGCUUCAACAAAGAGCCUGGUCAACAGAUGCAUACAGACAGAGUACCCGGAGAGAUACGACAGAGAAGACUCCUCUGCCAGCAGCAGCAACCGAGGGUCCUUGGAGACUCGCGGGACAGGAACUGACGUCAUAUUCACUAACGAGAAAGCCGUCAACACCCCGACCAGAAGUCUUCACUCCAUGUCCACUCAGAUUCAGGGCGCAGGGGCGUCCAAGGAGAUCUCCCCUUCCACCUUCGCGGACGGGAGCACCGACACGGACUCUGCCGUACUCCGGAGGCAGCGUCGUCGCCGAGAGAGGAAAGCAGUGGAGGUUUCGGUGCGGCCGACGACGUCUUACCGCUCGACGGCCCCAGCUGAAGGGUACGCUCUUCCUGUUUUGACCUAUAGCAGUAGCAUCGACGACAAUACCGACACCAAGGGGGGCGACGCGGUGACCGAAGUGGUGGCGAACAUUUCCUUGCCAGUGGUGGCGCCUAGCGUCACCAUAAACAGCGAUGCUGUGGUGACCACUUCGCUCAUCAGUCGAGAGCCGAUGACGUUUGAGGCUUUUGUGACCCAAAGACAAAGACAGCAUCAGGCUAAUGUUUAACACACCUUGGUUCAACAAUAAAUGUUAAACUGACAAACUAACGACAUUUUUAAUGACAUUUCGGUUUCGUCUUUCGACACUAUAUGAAGUAAAUAAUGAGUUAUAUACAUGCUUACCAUGACUUUUGAGAUAAAAGAAAUGAGGUCAUAAUAUUCACGUAACUGUUUGAUGGUGUCGAUGGGUAGUGCGUUAAUUUUUUAUUUUAAUCAUCAACAUUUGCAUAUAAAUUCCAGAGUUUUUUUUUUAAAUCUUAAAUAGCCAGUUUUGACAGUAUGACAGUGUCAAGACUGUAAUAACAGUAAUAUUAUAUUGACUAUUAACCGAAAUAAAUACAAGUAUUUUACCAUAAGGACCAUAUGACAUUUCAAUGUUACAUUUACUGAGAUAUUGAUUUAUUUCCAUUAUCAAAUACAUAAACAAACACACUAAUAUACGAAACAAAUGCCAACUGCAAUAUUUAUGAAUUUUGCACAAAAUAAGUCCGAGUCCAGUUAUAUCCUAAUGUAAUGCCAAUAUCUUAUCUUAUAUAUCAACAUUGACUUCUAUAAAUUAAUAAAUAUUAACAAACUUUGCCAGUUGAUUGAUUUCCAUUUUAAUUCAAAACCAGCAAAGACCACAGCAAGAUAUUUUUAAAUACUCGAAUGAUAUAUUUCAAACUGGUAUAUUUAAAAGUUGAAUUCACAAAGAAAUGUAAUGAUUUAGGCUUUUUUUUUUUUUGAUGAUUAGGCCUCUGGUUAUUUUUCAUUCGAAUUAGUCUUACAGUUGGCAUUAGCCUUUCAGUAUCUCUAGGAAAUUAAUAAAUAGAAAUAAUAUGCCUAAAGUAUGCUCAGUUGAAUUAGGCAAUCAUUACGACGCUGAAAAUAUUCUAAUCACCUGAAACAGAAGUAAGAAUAUAUAGACCAAUUUAUUUGUGAUAGUUCAUGAUAGAACUGUCCAUAGAAUUUUAAAUAUCACAUGUUUUAACAUCAUUGUUUAAAAAUAUUUGUUUCAUUGUUGUAUUUUCCCAUUCAUAUUCUGAUUUCCUCACUGUGUCUUCGGAGAUUUCCGAAAUUUUCAGAUUAACCCUGCGUCCUAAUUAAAUUUUAUCCAAUCCGAUAAAGUCGUUAGAGGAUAUGGAAUCAUUCCUAAAUAACCUCAACGCCAGAAAACCGUUUUUGACCAAUGGCUAUCACAGGAGGUCAUCUCCAUAGCAACCGCUAGGCUUUAGAGAUAUAUAUUCUGUAUUUAGCGUUGACGAGAAUUAGAAACAGACUUGUGUACAUUUAUUGUUUGAAUAGCGUGUGAUACAAGACACACACCUAGAGAUGUGUAGCAUGUCAGAGCACAACCACAUCAUCCAUUUAGUGAUCUGAGAGCCUGUAAACACAAAAAGUCAAAGCUUUGUAUGCAAGGUUUAGAUUUAAUACCCAACCCAGAAGCCAGUAAUGGAUCUACCAAGACACAUACAGCUAUAAAUAUAGCUAAUUAUGCCCACUUACACACACACACAAAAGUUGUUUCCUUGGGACGCUUCACUGUAUUGUUCUAUUUUCACACUAAACGUCAAUCCCAGUAAUCUGCUAUCUGCUUACACUUAUAUUUUUUGAUGGUCCCAUUCACGCAAUGAAUACAGUAAAAGAGAUAAAGAAAGAGACCGAUAUGAAGAAAUGUGGUGACGAUAUAAUGAAAGCUAAAGUGAAAAAAUUAGAAAAUAGAAAGAGGAAGCUAGAGAUUUGAAAUAAAUUUACAAAAUAAGCAACGCCAAAUUAAAAUAAUCAAUGCUGCCAACUAAAACAUAAAAACUAUUUGGUGCUAGAAACAAAAGAGCUAGAAAUUUGAUUCUGCAUUGCUAAAAAAGUGCUUAAAAAAAUGUGUAUGUAGCUUAUUUCAUUACUUCCCUUACCACUGAAUUCUGUACACGGAUACACCAUUAAGUUUGGUAGGCUUAGGCCUACAUAUAUCUUGGUAGAUCGGCGAUGGUGCUUGAGAACAUAUUUGUGUGUGUGUUAUAUAUAAAUAUAUAUAUAUAUAUCAUUUGUCCCUGAUGUCACGUCAUUUUGAUACAUAUGUGUAUGCCGCUACUUCCGUUCAUUUCUAACGACAGUGCUAACAUGUGCUAAUUAUAGUUUCCUCCGAGUCACGUGAUCUGUAUAGCAUGCUGGUUCCGCCAUGUUUAAAUCAUCGUUUGCUUGUGAAAGACCACCAACAAAUUGAUGCCAUGUUCAGCUAAUGUGUUCAGUUCUAUGAUUGGCAGGAAUCGUGAAUUGAAAAAAUGCCGUGUUCUGUAAUUCUGUAUUAAGGGAGGUCACUGUAAGACAUUUGAAGCUGAGUUGUUGAUAGAGCAUUGUGUUUGUAAAUUUAUAUCGCAGAUGUCUUUCUUUAAGGUUAUUUUUUUUUAAGGCUAUGGAUACAGUGAACUGUAUCAUGGCUUGUGAAGACAGCGAAAUCACACACAUUCUGAGGGCUUAACUCCCACAUUGUGAGGGCUAAACUCUCACAUUGUGAGGACUGAACUCCCACAUUGUGAGGGCUAAACUCCCACAUUGUGAGGGCUAAACUCUCGCAUUGUGAGGACUGAACUCCCACAUUGUGAGGACUGAGCUCCCACAUUGUGAGAACUGAACUCUCACAUUGUGUGUGCUGCAAGAGUAAAAUCAUAAUUUUAAUGCCUCCGAAGGUUCCUAAGAUAAGGAAAUGAUAAGUCAAAAUCCAGAAAGUCAUGUUCUGUACAAUGUCCUCUCCCGAGUCAUACCUCAUUAUUUGUACUGUUCUCUUACAUUGCCAAAACAACGCAAAUAAAAAAAUCGCCAUUCUCUUAUUGUGAAAUUAUAAACCAUAUUAUUAUAUGAUAAGAUAAUAUCUCUUAUUUCAAAAUAGAUGUAUCAUCUAUUUUUUUUUUUGGUAUAUAUAAUUUGGUGUCAUUUUGCAUCAUUCUUCAUCCAACUUGACAUUCAUAUUGUGUUCAUUGAAUGACAUUUCCUGUUGUAUUUAGCGCAAUGAUAAGUUUGUCCGCCAGCAGCAGUAAUUAGCUUUUGUGUUUUUUUGUUUUAUUUUAUAAUGAACUACACAGGAUCCGAUAAACGCACAUGUUAAAUAUAAAGAAAAAAAAGUGCGAAAUAAGAUUAAUGUUAUAAGAAUUCUAUUUAUUUCGUCUCAAAUAGGACACAUUUUUACAUAUAUCAAGAUGAUUAUUAAAUGCAUUUAUAUAUUAAAGCUUGAAAAUGGGAAAGAGCCUCUGCACAAAUUCUGCCCAUGGCCUCCACUUACUAAACUCCGGCACUGAUACUACAAACUUGUUUUCAAUGCUUUGAGGUAGUCUCAGAAUCCUAUCAUCUGACUAAUUAUUCUUUACAAUGUUGUCAUUGAUUCUAUAAUUAUUUUUUUUUUAAAUUUAAGUCUAUAGCCUUUGGUUGAAGUUUUUUUAUUUGAUGAGCUCAUAUUGCCCUUAUAGCGUAAAAAAAUACUUUCGUUUUUGCAGUUUUGAGGUAGCAUGGUCAAGUUUUACUUGACUGGGAAGUAGAAAGUCCAGCAAACUUUGGACAAUGUCGAUUGUGGAUAUGAAAAUGUUUGGAUACAUUUGGGGCCCUAUAACCAGCGCCGUUUCCAUUAUCAAAACAAAUAGGAAAGCAAUAUAGAAACACAUAUAGAGAUACAUAUAUAUAUACUCGCGUAUAGUGUUGUCUAUUUAUUACAAUCGCAUUAUGGCUGUGUCUUGAAUUAUUAUUGUUUCUUUUUUUUUUAAAUACCAUAUGUACUAUUGUCUUUAUAGUUUUAUAUUGUUGAGUUGGACAUGUAUUUUUGUUAGACUUUAGUUCAAAGCUCUGUUAAUCAUUGCAAACAAAGUGUACAAUACAAUAAGACAGAAUAAAAUAGUUGGAAAACAAAA